GGUCAAGUUAUUAAGGGUGCAGGGCGGAUGCCUUGGCACUAGGAGCCGAUGAAGGACGUGAUAAGCUGCGAUAAGCUUCGGGGAGUUGCACGUAAACUUUGAUCCGAAGAUUUCCGAAUGAGGAAACUCACUUAGAGUAAUGUCUAAGUAUCAUUAAGUGAAUACAUAGCUUAAUGAGGGGAACUCAGGGAACUGAAACAUCUAAGUACCUGAAGGAAGAGAAAGAAAUUCGAUUCCGUAAGUAGCGGCGAGCGAACGCGGAUUAGCCCAAACCAAUAAAGUUUUCUUUAUUGGGGUUGCGGACAUAUCAUAACGAAGAGGUAUCGUAAUUGAAGAGGUUUGGAAAGACCCACCACAGAAGGUAAUAGUCCUGUAUGUUAAACGAGAAGACUUCAGAUAUGAUCCAGAGUACCACGGGACACGUGAAACCCUGUGGGAAGCAGGAGGGACCACCCUCCAAGGCUAAAUACUACCUAGUGACCGAUAGCGUAUAGUACCGUGAGGGAAAGGUGAAAAGAACCCCGGGAGGGGAGUGAAAUAGAACCUGAAACCCUGCACUUACAAGCUGUGGAAGCACAUUUCUUGUGUGACCGCGUACUUUUUGUAGAACGGGCCAACGAGUUACGUUAAGUAGCAAGGUUAAGCACUUAAGGUGUGGAGCCGUAGCGAAAGCGAGUUUUAACUGAGCGUUCAGUUACUUGACGUAGACCCGAAACCGGGCGACCUACCCAUGAGCAGGAUGAAGCGAAAGUAAAAUUUCGUGGAGGUCCGAACCCACGAGCGUUGAAAAGCUCGGGGAUGACUUGUGGGUAGCGGUGAAAUUCCAAUCGAGCCCGGAGAUAGCUGGUUCUCCCCGAAAUAGCUUUAGGGCUAGCCUCAAGGUGAGAGAUACGGAGGUAGAGCACUGAAUGUCCUAGGGGGUAUUGCACCUACCGAAGACUAUCAAACUCCGAAUGCCGUCAUCUUAUACUUGGGAGUCAGACUGUGGGUGAUAAGAUUCAUAGUCGAAAGGGCAACAGCCCAGAUCGUCAGCUAAGGUCCCUAAAUGUAAGUUAAGUGGUAAAGGAUGUGGGAUUGCACAGACAACCAGGAUGUUGGCUUAGAAGCAGCCACUCAUUCAAAGAGUGCGUAAUAGCUCACUGGUCGAGUGAUCCUGCGCCGAAGAUUUCCGGGGCUAAAACUUACUACCGAAGCUACGGCAUCAGUAAUGAUGGGUAGGGGAGCUUCCCAUACGGGUUGAAGCAUGACCGUAAGGACAUGUGGACAGUAUGGGAGUGAGAAUGUUGGCAUGAGUAGCGAGAUGUGGGUGAGAAUCCCACAGGCCGUAAACCCAAGGUUUCCAGGGGAAGGUUCGUCCGCCCUGGGUUAGUCGGGACCUAAGCUGAGGCCGAAAGGCGUAGGUGAUGGACAACAGGUUGAUAUUCCUGUACUACCGAUAACCGUUUGAGAGAAGGGAUGACACAGUAGGAUAAGCUAAGCACACUGUUGGUUAUGUGUGCCCAAGCAUUGAGGUAGUCAAAGUAGGCAAAUCCGCUUUGAUAAUGCUGGGAUGUGAUGGGGAGCGAAAUUUAGUAGCGAAGUAGCUGAUUUCACACUGUCAAGAAAAGUCUCUAUCGAGGUUAAAGGUACCCGUACCGCAAACCGACACAGGUGGGUGAGGAGAGUAUCCUAAGGCCAGCGAGAGAACUGUUGUUAAGGAACUCGGCAAAAUGACCCCGUAACUUAGGGAUAAGGGGUGCCACCAUCAGGUGGCCGCAGAGAAUAGGCCCAAGCGACUGUUUACCAAAAACAUAGGUUUCUGCUAAGUCGCAAGACGAUGUAUAGGAGCUGACGCCUGCCCGGUGCUGGAAGGUUAAGGGGAUCUGUUAGAGCAAUCGAAGCAGUGAACUUAAGCCCCAGUAAACGGCGGCCGUAACUAUAACGGUCCUAAGGUAGCGAAAUUCCUUGUCGGGUAAGUUCCGACCCGCACGAAAGGCGUAACGAUUUGGGCACUGUCUCAACAACAGACUCGGUGAAAUUGUAAUUCCGGUGAAGAUGCCGGAUACCUGCGACAGGACGGAAAGACCCCAUGGAGCUUUACUGUAGCUUGACAUUGGGUCUUGGUACUACAUGUACAGGAUAGGUGGGAGGCUUUGAAACCAGGACGCCAGUUUUGGCGGAGCCAUCCUUGGGAUACCACCCUUGUAGUACUGGGACUCUAACCAUAGGCCAUGAAUCUGGUCUUGGGACACUGUCAGGUGGGCAGUUUGACUGGGGCGGUCGCCUCCCAAAAGGUAACGGAGGCGCUCAAAGGUUCUCUCAGUACGGUCGGAAAUCGUACGUAGAGUGUAAAGGCAAAAGAGAGCUUGAUUGCAAGACAUACAGGUCGAGCAAGGAUGAAAAUCGGACUUAGUGAUCCGGUGGUUCUGCGUGGAAGGGCCAUCGCUCAACGGAUAAAAGCUACCCUGGGGAUAACAGGCUUAUCUCCCCCAAGAGUCCACAUCGACGGGGAGGUUUGGCACCUCGAUGUCGGCUCAUCACAUCCUGGGGCUGUAGUAGGUCCCAAGGGUUGGGCUGUUCGCCCAUUAAAGUGGUACGCGAGCUGGGUUCAGAACGUCGUGAGACAGUUCGGUCCCUAUCCGUCGCAGGCGUAGGAAAUUUGAGAAGACCUGUCCUUAGUACGAGAGGACCGGGAUGGACGUACCUCUGGUGUACCAGUUGUUCUGCCAAGGGCAUGGCUGGGUAGCUAUGUACGGAAUGGAUAAGCGCUGAAAGCAUCUAAGCGCGAAGCCAACU
RNAcentral lists this ribosomal RNA (2775 nucleotides) under Clostridioides difficile. Its description in RNAcentral is "partial 23S ribosomal RNA". It matches the Rfam family "Bacterial large subunit ribosomal RNA". The record is from RNAcentral. Lineage: Bacteria; Bacillati; Bacillota; Clostridia; Peptostreptococcales; Peptostreptococcaceae.